GUGUGGUGCUAGCUUUGGAUAAUAAUCCAUUGAGCAGACAUGGCUGCAGCGGUUGAGAAAAACAAUCUACGCUUCCUUAAGUUAGCCAGACUCUUCUUCACUAACCCUCCCAGCUUCUGCAAGUGCCAGGCAGGGUAUCCCUCUCCCCAGACCACUACCAGGUACUGCAGCUCCUCCAGAUGAGCCAAUGUCUGACACAGGAGACUAGCACAAGAGGAUCUGCAGGACAGAAGAGUUUCAACAGUAGCAGGAUCAUUCACAGACCUGUUCAGCAAACCUGGAGAUGGAAAGGAGGAGAGAACUGAGGUUAGUAGAGGACAGCAAUGGGUUUGAAAUAGAGAUGGCAAAAGAGUUUUAAGUAAAGGAAGGAAUGGAUUUAGUGCCAUCUUUCACUGAAAAAUAAGACCCCUCCCUCAGCAGGAUACUGUACACUCUGGCAGCUAUAUCACAAACACUGCUUCUUGACUUUAGUCUCGCUCUCACACAACAGUUGUUACUUCAAUUGUUCACUCUCUCCCCCCCAUUAAAGAUACAACUCAUACCCCCAUUCCUUCUGAAUACAGUCUUGUCCUUUAAAGGCAGAUUGGUUGUUUAUCCUUCACUUGUCUAUAACUAUUAUACCUGGGUAUUCCAAGGGUUGGGAGGCUGCUUUCAGAACACAGUCCAUUGGUUGAAGCAGAACACUUAGAGCUUGGAUCCUUACUGCCUGUGGGCUUCAAAAGGAAGAAGUAGCGGUGAACAGACAACUCUUCAUUCUCCCUGAGUAUCUGCCCCCAAAUUCUGAUUAGUUAAUAAAUAACAAUUCACGAGAGUAGAUUCUUUCAGCCUUAAAUCAGGAUGGGGCUGGUGGGAGAGUAACACGUUGCUAUGUGGGGAUUCAAGCUCUGUCCCAAGCUUCCUGCGCUAAGCCAGGAGAGGAAGGAGAAAAGUCCUUGUGGUUUUCAAACAACCUCACUGCAGUAAAGCUAACUGGUUUUGGUGUGAAGUUUUCCAAGGGAGAAGGGGACCGUAAAGGGACAGAAUCCUGAGUGAUCUUCUUCCCAUCGACACAACGUUACAUACUCAGAGUGUAGGCAUUACUUAACCUGCAACAUUGGAUCAUGUGCACCCAGUAAUACUCUCCUAUUUACAGUAGCCUAAAUUAAUUGCUCCUCACAUUGCUGGUUUAGGUAGAAGUCCCAAGAGCAACUAUGGUGAUUUCUGCUGGCAAGCAGUAAGUGUACUUCUAUUAGACAGCAUAUGGGAAGGGGAAGGAAAUAGAGGGAAGUGUUGUUUGACUUGCACUCAAGAUAAUGCCUACUCUGAACAUUAACUUUGGCACUAGAGAGCAAAAACAAAAAAGUUUGCCAUUCCGAACCUAGAGGCUGGCUGACUGUAGGUGGGAUUUGAAAGCAUGUACAGGGCAUUUGUUUCUCCUGUUCCUCAUGUUUGGAACUGGACUGUCAGACCAUCAGCAUCUGCAGCUCCUGGACACGCUUUUCUGUACCAACCUUACAAUGGCAGUGAGUUGCACCACAAAGUUUCCCUCCUCAUACAGAAGAACACUGACAAUCAGAAAGGAACUUGACAACUUAUGAAAAAAGAUUUGCAGAAUAAUAUUCCAAGAUUAUAAGAAAGCUUUUUAAAGUUUGAUACCAACAAUUCAUACCAUUCCUGAAGCUUCAGUAUUCCCACUGCCAAAUGACCAACUUGAGCUGGGUUUAAGUGCUCCAGAGCACAUGUCACUGAUGUCCACAGGCUACAUUCAGGGCAGCUAAACACAGGAGACCUGAAAGAAAGAAGUGUUAACAUAUUUUUGUGUACACACCUUGGAAAAGACCACCACAUAUCUUGUAACAUUUUGGUCAGUAUUGCAUGAAUCCAAGUUCCAAACAGGUUUUUACCUUGUCAUGCUAAGGAAAAGGUCCACCAGUGAGUGCCCGGCAUGGACUGGCUCCUCCUCCAAGAGAUAUACAAUUGGCUGUGAUAGUUGUGACCAAAGUACUUCAGUCCACAGAUCAUGACAGCAUCCAAACACACUAGUUAGCAGCUUCAAGGAUUGGUUGAUACGAGAGGCAGAGUUGGAUUUAAGGGACUCUUCAAUGUGCACUACAAGCUUUUGCGCACAUACUGGCCAAUCACAGUCCUUUAUACUUACAAGUUUAGUCUGGAAUGAUUGUAGAGAGAAGGUGAGCAUGUGCACUAAAAGCUGAUUGGCAGCUGAAGCCACAAACAGGCUGGGGUCUCCCUGCAGAGUGAAGAUCACAUCUAUGGCUCCUAUGUCAAAGGAAAAACAACAACAACAAAGCCAUGACACUUAAAGAAACAAGAGUUUUGUUGUAACCUGGAGACGUCAUUGCAAUCCAAUCACGUGUCAUCCUACUUCUGAGUACCUCACACAAAUUAAAAUGUAAAGUUAAAAUGAAAACACAAACUUAAUGUUACAUAUGAACAGACUGAGAAAAGUCAGUCUAUCCAUCAUUGGCCAUAGGGGGGAAAAAAGGAAAAAAAUGACAAUGGCUGGCAUUGUAAAAUUUCUGUUUUCCCAACUGUAAGAUUAUAGGUGCUGUGAUAGGCAGCUUAUGAUCUCCCGCCGACAUAGUGCUGGGCACACUACCACUUAUGCCAGCCAAAUUUAUGUCAUUCAGGAUGUGUUUAAACUGUGGUUUAAAGAGAAUGAAUAGGGUGUGAAUAGAAUCUUCAGGGUGUGGGAGCGGACAGCUGGAGGAGGCUGUUAGAUUGACCUGAGUUAAGAUGCUCUGUAUAUGUUAAAUAGGUAUCAAAUAAAGACUGUCAAGUUACUACCCAUUAAUUAUUAAGACUAGUGGAUUACUUGAAUUUAAAACACAAAUAGGACUGCUCACAUUUUGUAAAAUCUGCAAGCCCAAUUAAAAAUCUGUGGCAAUGAAACCUGGGUUAAUUUCCCUAGAGUACAAUAAUCCUGAACUAUUUCUAAUAGACUGCAAAUAAGAAUUUUGGUGGCUUUCCAAUGCACUAUUUUUAUCUUGCCUAUUGGGUAAGUGUGUGUUUCUCCCUCCAACAUGGAUGCUAUUUAUUUUUUUUAUAUUGAGGAACCUUAAUACAUAUGUAAGUGUAACAAAAAUAAAGCAAUACAAUUAACUUUUA
Long non-coding RNA from Chelonia mydas (Green sea turtle), 3105 nucleotides. RefSeq lists it as uncharacterized. The transcript is spliced from 2 exons. The record is from RefSeq and is a predicted model, not a curated record. NCBI's taxonomy places the organism in Eukaryota, Metazoa, Chordata, Testudines, Cheloniidae.